UACGUAGGGUGCAAGCGUUGUCCGGAAUUAUUGGGCGUAAAGAGCUCGUAGGCGGUCUGUCGCGUCUGCUGUGAAAAUCCAGGGCUCAACCCUGGACCUGCAGUGGGUACGGGCAGACUAGAGUGCGGUAGGGGAGAUCGGAAUUCCUGGUGUAGCGGUGAAAUGCGCAGAUAUCAGGAGGAACACCGGUGGCGAAGGCGGAUCUCUGGGCCGUAACUGACGCUGAGGAACGAAAGCCAGGGUAGCAAACGGG
This 253-nucleotide ribosomal RNA is filed under the name uncultured bacterium. RNAcentral describes it as "partial 16S ribosomal RNA". It matches the Rfam family "Bacterial small subunit ribosomal RNA", at positions 524 to 776 of the family's 1533-position model. The record is from RNAcentral.